UGAGUGGCGGACGGGUGAGUAACGCGUGGGCAACCUGCCCUGUACAGGGGGACAACACUUAGAAAUAGGUGCUAAUACCGCAUAACGGGGGGAGCCGCAUGGCACCCCCCUGAAAACUCCGGUGGUACAGGAUGGGCCCGCGUCUGAUUAGCUGGUUGGCAGGGUAACGCCUACCAAGGNGACGAUCAGUAGCCGGCCUGAGAGGGCGGACGGCCACACUGGGACUGAGACACGGCCCAGACUCCUACGGGAGGCAGCAG
RNAcentral lists this ribosomal RNA (260 nucleotides) under uncultured bacterium. RNAcentral's name for it is "partial 16S ribosomal RNA". It matches the Rfam family "Bacterial small subunit ribosomal RNA", at positions 92 to 354 of the family's 1533-position model. The record is from RNAcentral.